UACGAAGGGGCUAGCGUUGUUCGGAUUUACUGGGCGUAAAGGGCGCGUAGGCGGCCAUGCGUGUCUUCCGUGAAAUCCCUCGGCUUAACUGAGGACGUGCGGAAGAAACUGCAAGGCUCGAGUCCGGGAGAGGGGGUGGAAUUCCCAGUGUAGCGGUGAAAUGCGUAGAUAUUGGGAGGAACACCGGUGGCGAAGGCGGCCCCUGGACCGGUACUGACGCUGAGG
Molecule: ribosomal RNA, 225 nt
Filed under: uncultured bacterium
Lineage: Bacteria
Description: partial 16S ribosomal RNA
Rfam family: Bacterial small subunit ribosomal RNA
Source: RNAcentral